GAUGAACGCUGGCGGCGUGCCUAAUACAUGCAAGUCGAGCGAACAGACGAGGAGCUUGCUCCUUUGACGUUAGCGGCGGAUGGGUGAGUAACACGUGGGUAACCUACCUAUAAGACUGGGAUAACUUCGGGAAACCGGAGCUAAUACCGGAUAAUAUUUCGAACCGCAUGGUUCGUUAGUGAAAGAUGGCUUUGCUAUCACUUAUAGAUGGACCUGCGCCGUAUUAGCUAGUUGGUAAGGUAACGGCUUACCAAGGCAACGAUACGUAGCCGACCUGAGAGGGUGAUCGGCCACACUGGAACUGAGACACGGUCCAGACUCCUACGGGAGGCAGCAGUAGGGAAUCUUCCGCAAAGGGCGAAAGCCUGACGGAGCAACGCCGCGUGAGUGAUGAAGGUCUUCGGAUCGUAAAACUCUGUUAUUAGGGAAGAACAAACGUGUAAGUAACUGUGCACGUCUUGACGGUACCUAAUCAGAAAGCCACGGCUAACUACGUG
Molecule: ribosomal RNA, 497 nt
Filed under: uncultured bacterium
Lineage: Bacteria
Description: partial 16S ribosomal RNA
Rfam family: Bacterial small subunit ribosomal RNA
Source: RNAcentral